RNAcentral lists this ribosomal RNA (762 nucleotides) under Triticum aestivum (bread wheat). RNAcentral's name for it is "partial small subunit ribosomal RNA". The record is from RNAcentral. Lineage: Eukaryota; Viridiplantae; Streptophyta; Magnoliopsida; Poales; Poaceae.
AUGCUACCACUACCCGUCCACCUGUCCUUCAUGCGCAGCCACUACUGGGUGGGCAUGAAGGCCAACUGGAUCGUCCUCGUCCACCAAUCCGGUAGUCCGUGGCAUCUUGUGGAUAUCUACACCCAGCAAGAGAUCACCCUUCCAUCGUUGGAUACCGCCGCCAUCGAGCCCGCGGCCCGCCGGACACUCCUUCCUACUACGCACGAGACGCGUCAAGCUUUUGGCUCGACCUCUUACCAUAUAACUGGAAUUAACCGAUGCAAGUCGAAGAAGGAUUGGCUGGUGCUGCCGGCUGGCGUCAAGUUCGAUCCCACGGAUCAGGAGCUGAUCGAGCACCUUGAGGCCAAAGUGAGUGCUGACAGCGCGAGAUCUCACCCUCUCAUCGAUUUGUUCAUACCAACCAUCGACAGCGAGCACGGCAUAUGCUACACCCAUCCUGAGAAACUUCCAGACCAGCGCAAUUCCAGGGCGUUCCAAAGGGGCACGUGGACGCGUCGCAAGAUACAGUCGGAGUGCGGCAUGCACGCGAUGUGGCACAACACCGGCAAUACCGUGCCGGUGAUGGUGAACGGCCGGCAGAUGGGCAGCAAAAUGGUUCUGGUGCUGCACACCAACAAGAACAUCGACCAGCAGAGGACCAACUGGGUGAUGCACCAGUACCACCUCGGGGACCUGCAGCAAGAGAAGGAGCGGGAGCUGGUCCUCUGCAAGAUUUUCUACCAGACGAACACUAGGGCCAGGAGUAAAAAGAUUAUAAGUUAG